CCUACGGGUGGCAGCAGUGAGGAAUAUUGGUCAAUGGCCGGAAGGCUGAACCAGCCAAGCCGCGUGAAGGACGAAGGUGCCAAGCAUUGUAAACUUCUUUUGUCAAGGGACAAAAUCAGGCUCGAGUGCCUGACUGAGGGUACCUGAAGAAAAAGCAUCGGCUAACUCCGUGCCAGCAGCCGCGGUAAUACGGAGGAUGCGAGCGUUAUCCGGAUUUAUUGGGUUUAAAGGGUGCGUAGGCGGUCUGUUAAGUCAGCGGUAAAAGCCCGGGGCUCAACCCCGGCGAGCCGUUGAAACUGGCUGACUUGAGAUGACGAGCGGUAGGCGGAAUGCGUGGUGUAGCGGUGAAAUGCUUAGAGAU
Molecule: ribosomal RNA, 361 nt
Filed under: uncultured bacterium
Lineage: Bacteria
Description: partial 16S ribosomal RNA
Rfam family: Bacterial small subunit ribosomal RNA
Source: RNAcentral